AGCGAACGCUGGCGGCAGGCUUAACACAUGCAAGUCGAACGCCCUGCAAGGGGAGUGGCAGACGGGUGAGUAACACGUGGGAACGUACCCUUUGGUUCGGAAUAACUUGGGGAAACUCAAGCUAAUACCGGAUAAGCCCUUAUGGGGAAAGGUUUACUGCCGAAGGGUCGGCCCGCGUCUGAUUAGCUAGUUGGUGAGGUAAUGGCUCACCAAGGCGACGAUCAGUAGCUGGUCUGAGAGGAUGAUCAGCCACACUGGGACUGAGACACGGCCCAGACUCCUACGGGAGGCAGCAGUGGGGAAUAUUGGACAAUGGGGGCAACCCUGAUCCAGCCAUGCCGCGUGAGUGAUGAAGGCCUUAGGGUUGUAAAGCUCUUUUACCCGGGACGAUAAUGACUGUACCGGGAGAAUAAGCCCCGGCUAACUUCGUGCCAGCCGCCGCGGUAA
Molecule: ribosomal RNA, 447 nt
Filed under: uncultured bacterium
Lineage: Bacteria
Description: partial 16S ribosomal RNA
Rfam family: Bacterial small subunit ribosomal RNA
Source: RNAcentral